UUGUGCAUCGGGAUUCCGGUGAUGCUUUGGGUAAUCUCAGAGUUGAGGUUUUCCACUAGGGAAUCCGACGAGAUCGCGAGCUUCGUGAUUGAGGAUUUCUAUGCGACUUGUGGUAAUUUGUGAUGGACUAGUUGGAGCACCCCUGCAGGGUUAAAUCUAUUCGGAAAGCCGUGCCCGCGGUUAUGUGGCAACGUGGAAACUUUGUUUAACACUGGUUCUAGAUAACUUGAAGUUAACUUAAUUAAAAUAUGCCA
This 254-nucleotide long non-coding RNA is filed under the name Hordeum vulgare. RNAcentral's name for it is "long non-coding RNA (HVUL_LNC010868)". Lineage: Eukaryota; Viridiplantae; Streptophyta; Magnoliopsida; Poales; Poaceae. The record is from RNAcentral.